RNAcentral lists this long non-coding RNA (702 nucleotides) under Homo sapiens (human). RNAcentral's name for it is "HSALNT0357765". Lineage: Eukaryota; Metazoa; Chordata; Mammalia; Primates; Hominidae. The record is from RNAcentral.
ACUGUGUUGACAGCCCUGGGCUGGAGGAAAGGCAGCAGUCUUCACAGAGCUCACUUUACGGCUGGGCUCACCCUUCACCCCAAGACAGCUUUGAUCACUGGGAAGUUUCCACAAACACAGAAUGAAUGAGGAAGAAGGUGAUUAUAUUUUCGGUGUGAUCCACGUGGACGAGAGGUGUUGCAUGUUUUUACAAAUUGAAGAUCUGUGACAACCCUGGGUCAAGCAAGUCUAUCAGUGCCAUUCUUCCAACACUCUCCUGGGUGCAGUCAAAGCUUCACUCCCUACACCCUACUGAACUAUCAGCUGACUGAUUCCCACUUGUCCAUGCCCCAGGACCCCACAGAAGCUCCACAUGCUUCCACAAGCUGAUGCACCAGUUCCAAGAGGAGGAAGAAAAGCUGGCACUCAGCCUUUAUUUCUCCCCAAACACCACAGUCAUUCAAUUCUGAAAAAAAAAAAAAAAAAAAAACCCAUUGCUUUGAAAAACAUAAAAUGAGAUCUAUCAAACAGCAUCUUGUAUUUUAAAGUGGAAAGAAUGGACUUUGGAAUCAUCUUUGGCAGCUAAUAGGCUGGGACACGCAGAGAAAGAGCUUGCCUGCCUCUGCAGACAUUCCUUGGACGAGUGGUUCUAAAUCCCAGCUACACACUCAAAUAGCUGCAGGAGGUUUAAAAACUGUCAAAUCUCCCAGCCCCUGCCCAGCC